AGAAUGAGAUUGAGCCAAGGAUGACUUGCCGAUUUUUAUCAACAAAUCUUAACUGAUUAUGGUGCCCGGCAAGUUGACCUUGGCUCUGUUUCCUUCUCU
MicroRNA precursor from Arabidopsis lyrata subsp. lyrata, 99 nucleotides. The record is from Rfam. Lineage: Eukaryota; Viridiplantae; Streptophyta; Magnoliopsida; Brassicales; Brassicaceae.